This 4910-nucleotide long non-coding RNA is filed under the name Sus scrofa (pig). RNAcentral's name for it is "lncRNA (ENSSSCG00000056839.1)". Lineage: Eukaryota; Metazoa; Chordata; Mammalia; Artiodactyla; Suidae. The record is from RNAcentral.
AAUCUGACUAGGAACCAUGAGGUUGUGGGUUCAAUCCCUGGCCUUUCUCAGUGGGUUAAAGAUUUGGCAUUGCCAUGAGCUGUGGUAUAGGUUGAAGACGAGGCUCAGAUCUGGCGUUGCUGUGGCUGUGGUGUGGGCCGGCAGCAACAGCUCUGAUUAGACCCCUAGCCUGGGAACCUCCAUAUGCCAGUGGGUGUGGCCCUAAAAAGACAAAAUAAAUAAAUAAAUAAAUAAAAUUUAAAAAGACAAAAACAUAAAACUAAAAAUAAAUAAAACAUCAUGUUUGAUUACAUCGCCUCUUCAACUGGGGGAGGGAGCAAGAGGAGAGGAGGAAAGAAUGUUUUCCUCUGGUCAUUUUCUCCAGAAUAAAAUGCUAAUUCCUUGACCUUCAAAAAAGACAAAGGGGGGUGUGGAAUGAGUCUUCUUUCCCUCAUAAGCCAACUCCAAUUGAUCUCUGUUGACCGAAUGGAGCACAACAUGGGAAAGGACUCUAAGGCUGUAUCCAGAAUUCCUGGAAAGGAUGCCCAGGAUCAGUUGGUCAAGUCUUUCAUGAGCAUUGGCAUCGGGCAAUAGGACACCCAUGCCUCCUAAGGGCAACCCCACUUCUGGGCCUUCCAUCCUUUGACCCAGCAUCACCUUUUAGCACUAAAACUCUCCAAUCUCUUGCUUAAAAAAAAAUACAGGAGACCACAAACCUGCUGUAUGGCCACCUACUUCUGUACUUUAUUCAUUCCUCCUCCCCGUAAUGAUUAAGCUACACAUCUGCAAAUUCAACCUAUUUCUCAAGGCCCUAUUUCUCAAUUCCAUCUCCUCCCUAGAAACAUACUUAUUUUCCCCAGAGCGAAAAAUAUCUCCCCGAAACUCCUUAAUUGGUAGCUCCGCUCUGAUUUCAAAGAAAGUUGCUUCCUUUCCAUAAGCAACUCAAUGGCAGGAGACAAACCAUAUGGCUUGUCCAGUAUUUUGCACGUGGUAGACAAAUAUUGGCCCGAUGAAUGAGUGGAUAUUCACAUGCAAUAUGUGUCCCUAAUAAGGAGGCCAUCCACCAGUUAUUUUUCAAUUAGGUUAAUAAUGCAAGUAUCACAAUUGAAUCAUUGGCUAAUUAUUAGCAAUCAAAGCUAUACAGAAAUGCAAGCUGAGUUCCAACUCACCUGCCCUUCCCCUUAUACUAAAGCCCUGGGAACUUUAUUAUUGAGCAUUCCAGUCAUUUCUCUCGCCGCUCCCUAAGAGCACAUGUGUGGAAAAUAAUUGAACCUCUCCAGGGCCUGGGCUCUACAGUGGCAGACAGCGAAGGCUUGGAGAGUUGUCUUGGCAGCACGAUGCCAUUUGGGGAAUGUAUGCUCAUGUUGCUACAGAUGGCAUGUUGUUCAGUUUACCCCCUGCAAGUUCAUGUUUAUUGUUCUCCCUCUGGUUUUCCAAGAUGCAAAAAUUAGUUGACUCAGAGCACCACCAAAAUAAAAGUAAAAACAAUACAUACCCUAAGAACAUUAAAAGGAAGGUGGUGGAUGGUGAUCCUUGAGCCCUGUUUUAAGAACUGGUCAUCUCUUGAUGUCACCUGUGUGUGACUCAGGUGGUCCCCUAAUCUGAUUGAGUAUCAAAAUCUACCAGCGAAAUUUUUUUUCCUGAAAAUGCGUGGAGAUUCCUGGGCCCCAUCCUGAGGCCUCUGAAUUUCUGAUUUAUGUCGAUCUGGGAUGAGAGCUUGAAAUACAUACUUUAGAACAAUCUUCCCAGGCGAUUCUGAUGUACAGAUGCGUUUGGAAGCCAAUGGUAUGGAGGAGGGGAUGUGCAGAGAACGAGGCCACUGUAAAGACCGAGAAGCACUACGUUUGCCCAUCUGGCCUUGGAGCCUGUGUGCAAGGCUGCCUCUUGGUUCAGCAAGGCAGGGUGGUCUCUUCCAGGUGGGUUCUCCAAUUGAGUCUGCUAGAAGCAUCACCAGGAGACACUGCUAAUCAAGUAGAUUCCCAGGCCCAGGCCUCCUCAUUCUGGGUUAAUCAUCUUUGAGGAUCUGGGAAUUUGCGUGUCUAACACCCUUCAUGGAAACCUGAUGCACAUGUGUGUGUGUGGGGGGGGGGGUUCCCCUGCCUUUACAGACUUGGGUCCAAGCCUAGCUUUGGAGUUGGCCAAUACCAGCACUGUGAGCCUUUAGGGAUGGCCCCAAGUCCCCCCUCCCACUGCUUCAGCACAGAAAGCAGUCUUCCUGACCCAACACCAUCAGUAGAAACAGCUGCGAUGUCUUGGUUUCUUGGCAUACACAGCUAUUGAGAGCCUUCCAUCCUGAAAGGCACAAGGACUUCCUUGCCUAAGGGAGCGAAACUUGGACCAGCGGCAAGUCUCUCUCUCACUCUCACCAAAUGAGACCUUGGGCUUUUGAGAAAGCAGGAACUAUGCCUGUGUUCACCUCAUAUCCCAAACUGUUAAGGCUCUACCUCCUCUCUGACCACAGUCCGAGCAGCAGGAGAGAGAAUAAGAGCACCCCCACCCGGUGAGGGCCAGGGUGCUCCCUGCAGUGCUUUCUGAUCAGCAGCUGUGCUGGGCUCUUGUGUAAAGGUAGGUGUCCCUACCUGGAGCUCCAUGUCAUUUUGGCAGGCCUCAUGGUCCUGAGGCCCUGAAGACCCAAGCUCCUCUCCACCAGCAUCUCUGAACCUUCCUUCUAGGUGGCUGCCAGGCCACCCCUCUGGGCUCCCAGAACAGGUCUGCCGACCAAAGAGUGGGCGGUGAGGGGUUAGAGGUGAUGCAGCCCUCAGGACCGAAGGUGUGCCUGAUGGACGCCUGGCCAGCAAAUAGCAUAGGGCAGCAUAAUGAGGGUGGGCCAGUUGUCAUGGCAACUCCCCGCCCCUUCUAAAAGUCUGGCCAGUGGGAACCAGUCUCAUUUCAGCUAUCCAAAGUGGGCUGUUUUUUCAGGAAUCAUGCUACAACCUCCUUUCCAUUCCAUGUCCCUGGUGGAUGAGCAUCCUUAAAACUCCUGGUAACCAUAAAAUCUUCCAUGCUUGAUGGACAGAUUCUGCCUUGUCUGCUAAUUGCUAGGAAUGCAUUUGAAAUGCUUGAUAGGAAAUUUGGGACUUGGUUCUAUUUACCAACUAAAGCAAUGAUACACAUACAGGCUAUUCUUGCCGUGUGUGUGUGUGUGUGUGUGUGUGUGUGUGUGUGUGUGUGUCUUAGCAAUUGCUGUGUAACUAACAAUCCCAAAACCUAGUGGCUUAAAACAGUAAACACUGAUUAUUGGUUACAAGCCUCUGGGUUGGCAGAGAGAUCUCCUGGCUUCGGCUGGGCUCCCGUGUUCACUGGCAGUCCCCUGAAGGUGGGGUGGGCAGCUGUCCUUAUCUUGGCUGGGUUCUCCCAUGUGUCUGCAGGUCAGCAGGUUGAAGGAUGAUUUAUGAUGUCCUCAAGCCAGCACAAAUGGCAACUGAUUCCUCCACGUGGCCACUAUUCUUCCGCUAGUGAAUAGCAUCAUCCUAUGUUUGUCUUCUGGGAGACAGGGUGCUGAAAGAGAGAAGAAUCAACCAAAGGUUCUUGAGGCCCAGCCUCUGAACAGGCCCCUUCAUUUCUGCCACAUUCUACUAGUCAAAGGAAGUCAUGGGACCAGUCCAGAUUUUCAAGGGCGGGGAAGAAAAUAGAUUCCUUCUCCUCAAGGAGAAAGAUGCAAGGCCAUAUUUAAAACCACACAUGGAUGUAGAGAAAGGAAGAAUUGGGGCCAUUUGGUAACAUUUUACCACAAUGCGGACAGGUUCGGUGUUGCAAAACCAUUCUCUUUAAAAGUCCCAUGGACUCACUUUGCAAUAUAUUACCAAUAUUAGAACAAAUUUCAAAUUAUGUUAAUGCCCAAUGAGUGAGUAAAGGAGUGAAUGAAGGAAUAAAUGAAUGACUUUAGUCCCUCAGACGCCACAUAUGGAUUGAGCACCCCCUCCCCCUGCGUCCCCUCCUUUGCAUAGUUCAGAGUUCCAGUCCCCACUCCUCCCUCCCAGAGUCCCACCACAUUGGAAGCUCCCGUGAUUCGAGACUCAGGGCUUUUCCAAGGCCAGCAGGGUGAAGUCAGGUCAGCAGGAAUGUGGUCCAGGCAUUGUAACCCAAUGCCAGGGAGAUGCCGCAAACCACACGGAGCUGGGCAGCCUAGGACUCCCCGCCCCGGGCUCCGUAGUCCCGGAAGUUGCUGAGCCUGGAGAAUAAGCACAGUGUCCUUUAUAAAAACAAGUGGCACCAGUGAGGCCAACCGGGGAACGUGGAACAUAAACAUGAAUUGUCCCUGGGAAAGUGAUCCUAACAACCGCCCCAGAGGAGAAGCUGUCAGGGAGGAGUUGUCAGUAGGUGGGGAACAGGGGGUCCUCUAGGGGGCACUCUAGAGCCUUCCGCACUCUGUCUCACUGGACUACAGGACUGCAGGCUUAACAGCUGUGUGAUUUCUAAUUUGCCCUCUUCCGUGUCUCACUGUUGAAUGGUUGUCUCCAUAUUCCAGUUGGGGACGUUAAUGUCCCCUGUUCACCAGGUGGAUGUAGGUUGUUGAUCCUGGGAGCGCGGGGUGGGGAGGGCUCCAUCUAAAAGGUAGGACCCCCUCAGUGCACUAAGAGGCCGGGAAACUGGAGCUACCACACCCCCCUACAGGCUUGGAAACUGCCUCUUCUCCUCCCUCACUGUGCCCAUCCCGGUGGCACUCUUGCCUCUGGCGCCUAGCGGAACCCCGGUUUUAGGUUUGGGUUUGGGAUUUCACUGGUAUAUCCUAAAAGCAUCCCGAGGAUUUGCUAGCUCUGAGUGGAGGCAACGUCUCUCUUUCCUUUCCAAAAAGCCAGCAGGGGGAGCAGCAAAGCCCCUGGGCCUUGUUUUAAUUUUAUUUUUAACGUCUGUCUUUUGCAUACAUUAUACAUAAUCCCCUCAUCCCCCACAUGACUGUGAUCAAUUUGUUCUUUUAGGAAAUAAGACGG